RNAcentral lists this Y RNA (99 nucleotides) under Carlito syrichta (Philippine tarsier). Its description in RNAcentral is "Y RNA (ENSTSYG00000019931.2)". It matches the Rfam family "Y RNA". Rfam says of the family: Y RNAs are components of the Ro ribonucleoprotein particle (Ro RNP), in association with Ro60 and La proteins. Lineage: Eukaryota; Metazoa; Chordata; Mammalia; Primates; Tarsiidae. The record is from Rfam by way of RNAcentral.
GGCGUGUCCAAGUACAGCAGGGUUUACAACUAAUUGUUCACCAGUUACAGAUAUUUUUGUUCCUUCUCCACUUCUACUGCUUCACUUGACUAGCCUUUA